CUACGGGGGGCUGCAGUGAGGAAUUUUGCGCAAUGGGGGAAACCCUGACGCAGCAACGCCGCGUGAGUGAUGAAGAUUUUCGGAUCGUAAAGCUCUGUCAAGUGGGAAAAAAUACUUACAGUUAAUACCUGUAAGGACUGAUGGUACCACUGAAGGAAGCACCGGCUAACUCCGUGCGCAGCAGCCGCGGUAUACGGAGGGUGCAAGCGUUGUUCGGAAUUAUUGGGCGUAAAGGGCGUGUAGGCCGCUUGGAAAGUCAGAUGUGAAAGCCCUGGGCUCAACCCAGGAAGUGCAUUUGAAACUGCCAAGCUAGAGUAUGGGAGAGGAGAGUGGAAUUCCCAGUGUAGAGGUGAAAUUCGUAGAUAUUGGGAGGAACAUCAGUGGCGAAGGCGACUCUCUGGACCAAUACUGACGCUGAGACGCGAAAGCGUGGGGAGCAAACAGGAUUAGAUACCCGGGUAGUC
This 464-nucleotide ribosomal RNA is filed under the name uncultured bacterium. RNAcentral describes it as "partial 16S ribosomal RNA". It matches the Rfam family "Bacterial small subunit ribosomal RNA", at positions 339 to 795 of the family's 1533-position model. The record is from RNAcentral.